This 483-nucleotide ribosomal RNA is filed under the name uncultured bacterium. RNAcentral's name for it is "partial 16S ribosomal RNA". It matches the Rfam family "Bacterial small subunit ribosomal RNA", at positions 28 to 523 of the family's 1533-position model. The record is from RNAcentral.
GACGAACGCUGGCGGCGUGCUUAACACAUGCAAGUCGAACGAUGAUGCCCAGCUUGCUGGGUGGAUUAGUGGCGAACGGGUGAGUAACACGUGAGUAACCUGCCCCUGACUCUGGGAUAAGCGUUGGAAACGACGUCUAAUACUGGAUAUGAUCACUGGCCGCAUGGUCUGGUGGUGGAAAGAUUUUUUGGUUGGGGAUGGACUCGCGGCCUAUCAGCUUGUUGGUGAGGUAAUGGCUCACCAAGGCGACGACGGGUAGCCGGCCUGAGAGGGUGACCGGCCACACUGGGACUGAGACACGGCCCAGACUCCUACGGGAGGCAGCAGUGGGGAAUAUUGCACAAUGGGCGAAAGCCUGAUGCAGCAACGCCGCGUGAGGGAUGACGGCCUUCGGGUUGUAAACCUCUUUUAGUAGGGAAGAAGCGAAAGUGACGGUACCUGCAGGAAAAGCACCGGCUAACUACGUGCCAGCCGCCGCCGUAA